Cephalotus follicularis is the source of this 117-nucleotide non-coding RNA. NCBI's taxonomy places the organism in Eukaryota, Viridiplantae, Streptophyta, Magnoliopsida, Oxalidales, Cephalotaceae. The record is from Rfam.
GUGUGCGAUCAUAUUAGUACGUAUGCAUUAGAUCCCAUCGAAACUCCGAAGUUAAGCGUGCUUGACGAGAAUGGUACUAAAAACGAGCUUUGUUUAGGAUUUCCACAGACACAGGCA